This 465-nucleotide ribosomal RNA is filed under the name uncultured Klebsiella sp. Its description in RNAcentral is "bacterial SSU rRNA". It matches the Rfam family "Bacterial small subunit ribosomal RNA", at positions 338 to 795 of the family's 1533-position model. The record is from RNAcentral. Lineage: Bacteria; Pseudomonadati; Pseudomonadota; Gammaproteobacteria; Enterobacterales; Enterobacteriaceae.
CCUACGGGUGGCUGCAGUGGGGAAUAUUGCACAAUGGGCGCAAGCCUGCUGCAGCCAUGCCGCGUGUGUGAAGAAGGCCUUCGGGUUGUAAAGCACUUUCAGCGGGGAGGAAGGCGGUGAGGUUAAUAACCUCAUCGAUUGACGUUACCCGCAGAAGAAGCACCGGCUAACUCCGUGCCAGCAGCCGCGGUAAUACGGAGGGUGCAAGCGUUAAUCGGAAUUACUGGGCGUAAAGCGCACGCAGGCGGUCUGUCAAGUCGGAUGUGAAAUCCCCGGGCUCAACCUGGGAACUGCAUUCGAAACUGGCAGGCUAGAGUCUUGUAGAGGGGGGUAGAAUUCCAGGUGUAGCGGUGAAAUGCGUAGAGAUCUGGAGGAAUACCGGUGGCGAAGGCGGCCCCCUGGACAAAGACUGACGCUCAGGUGCGAAAGCGUGGGGAGCAAACAGGAUUAGAUACCCGGGUAGUC